AAAAUCCGUCGAUUCUUGAAAUCAUGAGGGUUCAAGUCCCUCUAUCCCC
This 49-nucleotide transfer RNA is filed under the name Costularia laxa. Its description in RNAcentral is "partial tRNA-Leu". RNAcentral also lists the same sequence under 6 other names. The record is from RNAcentral. Lineage: Eukaryota; Viridiplantae; Streptophyta; Magnoliopsida; Poales; Cyperaceae.